RNAcentral lists this long non-coding RNA (535 nucleotides) under Manihot esculenta (cassava). Its description in RNAcentral is "long non-coding RNA (MESC_LNC004541)". Lineage: Eukaryota; Viridiplantae; Streptophyta; Magnoliopsida; Malpighiales; Euphorbiaceae. The record is from RNAcentral.
GCUUCUAGGCUAGAGUGUUCUCUUUAGGUCAGUGGACUCAAGUGUGAUCCAUCUGUGGCAGAGUCAGUCUGCCGGUCCAGUUCUGUGUCAGUUGGGAGUAGAUGCCUUCCACUCGACUUUGAGGUCCUAGACUUGAUUGUCUGGACGUCAAUCGAGGGAUGGAUUUGGUUUUUCUACUCGUGGUGCUAUCUUGGUCUGCAGAAACAAGGUAGUUAGGUUCAGAGAACAGGAUGGGUCAAAGAUUUUCUUCUGAGGGGACACAGUAGGGAUGCCUAGAGGUUUGAUGUCAGCCUGUAAGGUUCGUAGGGUGCGUAGGAGGGGUUGUCAGAUGGUCCUAGCUCUUGUUUGAGAGUUCAGCAGUCAAGUCGGGGAACCAGCCUCAGUGCCAGUUGUUCGAGAGAGUUCUUAGAUGUCUUCCCAGGCGAGUUGUCAGGUUUACCAUCUGUCAGGGAGUUAGAGUUUGGUAUAGGAGUGGUGUCUGGACGCAGAACCAUUUCUACCCUUCCCUAUAGGAUGGCGCCUGCAUAAAGAGAGG